GUGGCGCACGGGUGAGUAAUGCAUGGGAAUCUUCCAGUUGGAGAAGGACAACUACGGGAAACUGUAGCUAAUACUUCGUAAGCAGGGUGACCUGGAAAGAUGGGGACCGCAAGGCCUAUCGCCGAUCGAUGAGCUCAUGUCCCAUUAGCUAGUUGGUGAGGUAACGGCCCACCAAGGCGUAGAUGGGUAGCUGGUCUGAGAGGACGAUCAGCCACACUGGAACUGAGACACGGUCCAGACUCCUACGGGAGGCAGCAGUGGGGAAUAUUGCGCAAUGGGCGAAAGCCUGACGCAGCAACGCCGCGUGAGUGAAGAAGGCCUUCGGGUUGUAAAGCUCUUUCGGCUGGGAAGAAGGGUGCGCGAGCGAAUAGUUUGUACAUUUGAUGGUACCAGAGUAAGAAGCACCGGCUAACUUCGUGCCAGCAGCCGCGGUAAUACGAAGGGUGCAAGCGUUAUUCGGAAUAAUUGGGCGUAAAGGGUUCGUAGGUGGGAUUGUAAGUCAAGUGUGAAAUCCCCAGGCUUAACCUGGGACGUGCAUUUGAAACUGUAAUUCUUGAGUAUUGGAGAGGGUAGUGGAAUUGUAGGUGUAGGAGUGACAUCCGUAGAGAUCUGCAGGAACA
This 620-nucleotide ribosomal RNA is filed under the name uncultured bacterium. RNAcentral describes it as "bacterial SSU rRNA". It matches the Rfam family "Bacterial small subunit ribosomal RNA", at positions 95 to 708 of the family's 1533-position model. The record is from RNAcentral.